This 3920-nucleotide long non-coding RNA is filed under the name Citrus sinensis (sweet orange). RNAcentral's name for it is "long non-coding RNA (CSIN_LNC001874)". The record is from RNAcentral. Lineage: Eukaryota; Viridiplantae; Streptophyta; Magnoliopsida; Sapindales; Rutaceae.
GAAUUAACUAAAUAAAAGACAAUUAUUUUAUUAAAAAAUAUUUUAUCUGUAUAAGAAAAUUAGUUAGGCAUACUUAAAUCGAGAGCAAUAAAAUAAAUAAAAUCAACCACAAAAAAGUUCGAACGACAUUGCUGCUACUCUUUCUCUUCUGCUUCUUUUUUCUGCAUCUCGCUAGACAUACUUAAAUCGAGAGCAAUGAAGUAAAUAGAACCAACCAUGAAAAGGUUGGAACGACAUUGCUACUACUCUUUCUCUUCUGCUUCUUUUUUCUGCAUCUCUCGGCCUGUAUCUCAAUUAUGCAGCUUGCUUGUCUUUUUAUAAUACACAUGACAGCCUAUUAAGCUUAUAUUCUUCGUUGAUUUCUGAUUACAAUUUUGUAAGCCAAGCCACUGACUUUAAGUUGUAAAAGGCUCAAACCCUUUUUUUUUUUAAUUCUCUGUUUCCUCUUCUUCACGUGGCAAUAAUGGUAAGAGAUAAUGCUUUAAUUGGAAAAUAUUAAUCUCCGAAUCUUCAAUUCUGGAUCUUUUAUGCACCUUUGUUUUCCAAUCUUCAAUUAUUUCCCGGUUCAUAAAUAAUUUAAUUAAUUAAAAAUAACAGAUAAAAAUAGUUAAUAAAUAUAUCAUUAAUGGUAAAAUAUGUAUAUAUUAUAUGCUCUGUCAUCUACAAAUGUGAGAAAAAAAAUUUCUGAUUGGGAAAACAAAAUGAAAUAGAUACGGAGCUUAAAAGCUAAUAUAUAUAUAACGGAGAUUUGAGGAACCGAACCUGGCAAGAAGCCUCACGACACUCAAUUUUCGCCCAUGAAUGCAGCGAACAAUAGCAUCUAAGAGAAUAAGCCGGUGAGAGUUAUAUCUACUAGGUAUAUUUGAAAACUUCCAUUCCUAUGGGAUACCUACAGCAUGAUUUGAAUCAAAAGUCCCUUUAAUCCACAAAUAUCCUCUCAAAUAGGAAUGGUAAAAAUCCCUACGGGGACGGGUAUCUUUAGGGAUUUUUUCUAUUUGGAGAGGAUAUGAGGAUAAUUUUAUACCUAGUUUUUUAUUCGAAGAAGAGAUGUGGAAAUUUUUUUACUCAAUUUCUUAUUCGGGGAGAGAUCGGGGAUGAGGUAGCAUCUCCAUCCCCUAUCCAUUUCCCCAUUUUAAUUUUAAAUUUUAUUUUUACUUUUUUAAAAUUAGUAGUAAAUAAAUAAUAAAAUUUGAAUUAUAAAAUUAUAAAUAUUGGUAAAAAUAACAAAUAUCAAAAUAUUUAUAUUAUUAAAUUUUUAGGCCUAAUUAACUAAUUAAAGUCUUAAAUUUUUAUUUAGCACAUUAAAAAAACCGGAUAAAUUCUAUUAGCCCAAAAAUUUUGUUUUAAUUUUAAUAUUCAUUAAAUGUUUUAAACUUAAAUCUAUUUUUAUUUAUUUUUAGAUGUUAUAAUUGCCCACAGCGAAUCACAAUUUUAAUAUCUAAUCUAAUCUAAUCUAAUCUAAUCUAAUUUAAUCUAAUAUUUGCUCUUGAUUUACCCCGACUUAACUAUUGUGCUGUAAAGGGAAUAAUCCACAUUUAUAAAGUGUCCACGCCACCAUUGAAAAAAUUAAUUUUGAAUCUAAAUUCAAUUUUAUUUGUAACAAUUUUAUAUUAGACUAUUAAUUUAUUCACAAUAGUUUAUAAAAGAAGUUUGUAUCCCUUACAUGUUGUGUUACUUACUAAUUUAAUGUAUGUGACUUUUGUAAUGGAUAUUAAUGUAAGAUAUAUUUCAAACUUUACUUUUAUUUGAAUUUUUUAUUUUAACAUGAUUAACUCAAAAUCGAAAACAAAAAAUAUAUUAGUUAUUCGGAGAUCGGGAACCCUCGGAGAUCCCCUAUUAUUAUUCGGGGAGGAGAUGGAGAUUCUCUCAAGUAAUUACGACUGAGACGGGGAGGGAACGGGGACAUACGCAAAAUAUUAGGGAUGUGUACGGAGAGAUUGGUUCCCUCCCCUCCUCUCCCCAUUGCCAUCCCUACUCUCAAUUCAGCCUCCACAAUCAACCCACGAACUCCUCCAGCAUGGAAAUAGAAUAGCUUAGUAUAGAAAUAUAUCAAACCCACUCUUAAUAAAUGUACAAUAGCAAUUAAUGACCUGAGACAACUCAAAUGCAAGCAUCAACUAUCAUGAGUAAACCAUUCUUAUUUCAUAGAAAAUGGUCAAAAUGCAAUACAAUGGACAAAACACAUGCAUGCAGACGUACACGCACAAGAGUGAACAUCGUAAAGUGGUGCUUUUUCAAUUACAGUCUAAAUUCGAAACACGGUUUAACUUAUUUUUGAGUCUGGAGGAUUCAGAUUAUUUCAACUUUUUAUUAUUUAUUAGUUGUAUAGGGAACUUUUUGAAUUCCCAGUAGCAAGGGACUUCAGUAACGAAAAUGCCUUCAACACUGCCCAAUAUACUUUCCAAAGAUUUUUACGAGUACAUUUUAUUAAUAUAGAAGUACGUUUCUUUGGUCAGCAUAGGAAGACUGGAAACUUUCAAAAUUGGUUUCUACCUGCACUUAUAGUGCCAUUUGAAAAAUUCAGAAACCAAUCAACAGAAAGUUAGCUCAAAUUGAUAACCGAUGGUGUAAUUAAGUUGGCGCAAAUUCAUAUGAUUGAUAUCAAUGUAACAGAAAAAGAAUGAAUUCAAAAUGUUGGGGCUUCUCAUUCGGAGAGGAAAAUGGUACGAAAAUUCCUCUGAAUUGUUUACAGCAGUCUUAUUUGUAAACUUUGUAUAAUUCUAAUGUGAAUUUUGCUAAAAAGAAAUAUCGAAUCUAUGGUGAAGUAUGAAUUUGAACAUUUGCAAGAAGCCGGGUGAGUUUGCUUAGGGUUUCACGAGCAGCUAUGGUGUCUGGAUGAUCCUCACCAGAAAUUGAAGUUCUAAUAAAAACAGCCUUCCUAAUUAGAUCAUCCCCUAUGUCAAAUUGCCCUCCUCUUAGCAUUAACUUGGCCCUAGUUUCAAGGACUGUGGCUCUUGUUAGAGCUAAUUCCUGCCAGAGGGUUGGAUUCAACUGAGCAUUAGUCUGGACGGGCCGCCAACAAAGUGAUUUGUCCAACAAUUUUUCAACUGGGGUAACUAAUGCAUGGUCCGCUGCUUCCAGAGCAUUGGUGCAUAGACGCAGGAGUUCUAAAGCAGCACUACACCGAGAAAACGUAAUGAAUGUCCUGAUUGCAACAGGCAAAACCACCUCUUUAACAAGGUAUAACAACUCUGACACUUUGAGCUCGACAACUUUUAGGUCAUUACCAAACCCAAAUAGCAAGAAACAUGCUGUCCAUAUAUGUCCUGAAUGAUGGGUUAUAGAUCCACGGCUGAUGACAGCUUGAACCAUGGCAUGAGCAACACCAGUAACUCCUCUUUUGCGAGCAUAAAGCUUCACAAGAUCGUUGAAAUGGAUGUACCCUUGCCUGGUACUACUUCUGGCAAUGUUGAAUCUCAACAACAUGGAAGAUGCUUCCGCUUCUGAUCUCUUGGUGUAUGAGGAAGUAAAUCCACAAGUUAAAGACAGUAAUAAUUUCCUCCACAAGUGGGUACCCUUGUGCUUCUCAGGUAUCUUGUGAGCAGCAAGGGCUAAUAGGGAAACCGGAAUAGCAGCCGGUGCAAACCACCCACCAGCAAGCACCAUUCUAGUUGCCAGGCUCCUCGGCCCAUCUGCAUGAUCAAAUAUUGAGAAACAAACCUCGAAGAGUUGAAAUAGGAAAGUGUUUCUUCUCAAUGAAUGAGAUUCCCUACCAUUCCAAGACAAGUCCCUCAAGGAACCCUCGGAGAUCCCCUAUUAUUAUUCGGGGAGGAGAUGGAGAUUCUCUCAAGUAAUUACGACUGAGACGGGGAGGGAACGGGGACAUACGCAAAAUAUUAGGGAUGUGUACGGAGAGAUUGGUUCCCUCCCCUCCUCUCCCCAUUGCCAUCCCUACUCUCAAUUCAGCCUCCACAAUCAAC